AGUGAACGCUGGCGGUAGGCCUAACACAUGCAAGUCGAACGGCAGCACAGUAAGAGCUUGCUCUUACGGGUGGCGAGUGGCGGACGGGUGAGGAAUACAUCGGAAUCUACUUUUACGGGGGGGAUAACGUAGGGAAACUUACGAUAAUACCGCAUACGACCUACGGGUGAAAGCAGGGGAUCUUCGGACCUUGCGCGAUUGAAUGAGCCGAUGUCGGAUUAGCUAGUUGGCGGGGUAAAGGCCCACCAAGGCGACGAUCCGUAGCUGGUCUGAGAGGAUGAUCAGCCACACUGGAACUGAGACACGGUCCAGACUCCUACGGGAGGCAGCAGUGGGGAAUAUUGGACAAUGGGCGCAAGCCUGAUCCAGCCAUACCGCGUGGGUGAAGAAGGCCUUCGGGUUGUAAAGCCCUUUUGUUGGGAAAGAAAAGCAGCAGGUUAAUCCCCCGCUGUUCUGACGGUACCCAAAGAAUAAGCACCGGCUAACUUCGUG
RNAcentral lists this ribosomal RNA (492 nucleotides) under uncultured bacterium. Its description in RNAcentral is "partial 16S ribosomal RNA". It matches the Rfam family "Bacterial small subunit ribosomal RNA", at positions 29 to 507 of the family's 1533-position model. The record is from RNAcentral.